GCUGACUGUAGCGUAACUGACGCUGAUGCUCGAAAGCGUGGGUAUCGAACAGGAUUAGAUACCCUGGUAGUCCACGCGGUAAACGAUGGAUGCUCGCUGUUUGCCUUAUUUGGUAAGUGGCCAAGCGAAAGCAUUAAGCAUCCCACCUGGGGAGUACGCCGGCAACGGUGAAACUCAAAGGAAUUGACGGGGGCCCGCACAAGCGGAGGAACAUGUGGUUUAAUUCGAUGAUACGCGAGGAACCUUACCCGGGCUUGAACUGCCAGCGGACGAUUCAGAGAUGAUGAGGCCCUUCGGGGCGCUGGUGGAGGUGCUGCAUGGUUGUCGUCAGCUCGUGCCGUGAGGUGUCGGCUUAAGUGCCAUAACGAGCGCAACCCUUUUCCCCGGUUGCCAUCAGGUAGUGCUGGGCACUCCGUGGAUACUGCCACCGCAAGGUGUGAGGAAGGUGGGGAUGACGUCAAAUCAGCACGGCCCUUACGUCCGGGGCUACACACGUGUUACAAUGGCGCGUACAGAGAGCCGGUCCCUGGCAACAGGGGUCAAAUCCAUAAAACGCGUCGUAGUUCGGAUUGGGGUCUGCAACCCGACCCCAUGAAGCUGG
This 601-nucleotide ribosomal RNA is filed under the name uncultured bacterium. Its description in RNAcentral is "bacterial SSU rRNA". It matches the Rfam family "Bacterial small subunit ribosomal RNA", at positions 724 to 1329 of the family's 1533-position model. The record is from RNAcentral.